GACGAACGCUGGCGGCGUGCUUAACACAUGCAAGUCGAACGGAAAGGCCCUGCUUUUGUGGGGUGCUCGAGUGGCGAACGGGUGAGUAACACGUGAGUAACCUGCCCUUGACUUUGGGAUAACUUCAGGAAACUGGGGCUAAUACCGGAUAGGAGCUCCUGCUGCAUGGUGGGGGGUGGAAAGUUUCGGCGGUUGGGGAUGGACGCGCGGCUUAUCAGCUUGGUGGUGGGGUAGUGGCUUAACAAGGCUGUGACGGGUAGCCGGCCUGAGAGGGUGACCGGCCACAUUGGGACUGAGAUACGGCCCAGACUCCUACGGGAGGCAGCAGUGGGGAAUAGUGCACAAUGGGCGGAAGCCUGACGCAGCAACGCCGCGUGCGGGAUGACGGCCUUCGUGUUAUAAACCGCUUUCGCCUGUGACGAAGCGUGAGUGACGGUAAUGGGUAAAGAAGCACCGGCUAACUACGUG
RNAcentral lists this ribosomal RNA (468 nucleotides) under uncultured bacterium. Its description in RNAcentral is "partial 16S ribosomal RNA". It matches the Rfam family "Bacterial small subunit ribosomal RNA", at positions 28 to 507 of the family's 1533-position model. The record is from RNAcentral.